Molecule: long non-coding RNA, 1033 nt
Organism: Rhagoletis pomonella (apple maggot)
Lineage: Eukaryota; Metazoa; Arthropoda; Insecta; Diptera; Tephritidae
Exons: 2
Source: RefSeq, a predicted model, not a curated record
CUAAUAUAAUAAUUAUAUUUUGGGGCUUACGCUUUUGCUAAGUUUUUGGCAAGAGCUCCUCCUCAAAUUUGUGGUAUGCUCUCUAGGCUCUAUUGCACCAACGAUUUAUCAUUGGCAUUUUAAAAAAUUAUCAAUGCUGCGCCAAGUUAUGUUGGUCAUUAACUUAGGGCCAGUUGUUUAAUGUCCAAAUAACCAAUUUUACCCGAUUAGAUAAGCACUAAAACAUUGGCAAAUAUGCUUACAAAUAUGCUCGAGAAUUGGGAAAUGCCUCGCCAAAUAAACGUUUUAAAGGAAGUGCAGGAGCUGGGGGCGGCGGGCGAACUAUACUUCCAUAGGUUGGAAGAUAACUGAAGAUUUUUGUAGGUAUUAAUUUGAACUUGAAAACGCUGAUCAGACAAGGACAUUUUUAAAUUGCAAUGUAAUCAUAUAUGCAUACAUUAGAAUUUAGUUUAUAAGUUAUAAUAUUAACGUAAUUACAAAAAGUAAAUUGUUCAUCUAUAAAUGAAAUCCAUAAAUUAAGACAAAUAACCACAAUCAGUUGAAUAAAAAAAGAAAUAACAAAGUUUAGUAGGGCCAACACAAAGGCGUUUCAGACAGCUUUCACAUUAAACUUCCGGAGAUUUUCUGUAAACAUUAAAAAAAUAAUCCACUUUAUGUACGAAUGUAAUCGAAAAGUUCUAUAAAUAAACUAAAUUUUGAAAAAACAAAAAAUGCAGUUGCAAGAAAGAAACGUACAUAAUCAGGGCUACCACAGAAUCCAUCGUACUCCGAUUUUUCGCAAAAUCUACGAAAAUGAAAUUGAAUUCGAGUAGCUACGAGCGUAACGUACACUUUUAAUACAUACAUACGUUCGUAGCAAAUCGGAUUCUGUAAUAACAUUUACGCAGUUUUCACGAAAAAUAGGACUAGGAUAGAUUCUGUGAUAGCCACCAAAAGUUCCAAAAUUAUGUAUAAAUAAGGAUUACAUUUUUCAAAACUUCAAAAAUAAAAACAAAAUCCCUUGCCUUGAAUGGUCCGCGUGCACUUUUCCAAA